AUACGUAGGUGGCAAGCGUUGUCCGGAAUUAUUGGGCGUAAAGCGCGCGCAGGCGGUCCUUUAAGUCUGAUGUGAAAGCCCACGGCUCAACCGUGGAGGGUCAUUGGAAACUGGGGGACUUGAGGGCAGAAGAGGAAAGUGGAAUUCCAAGUGUAGCGGUGAAAUGCGUAGAGAUUUGGAGGAACACCAGUGGCGAAGGCGACUUUCUGGUCUGUAACUGACGCUGAGGCGCGAAAGCGUGGGGAGCAAACAGGAUUAGAUACCCUGGUAGUCCACGCCGUAAACGAUGAGUGCUAAGUGUUAGGGGGUUUCCGCCCCUUAGUGCUGCAGCUAACGCAUUAAGCACUCCGCCUGGGGAGUACGGUCGCAAGACUGAAACUCAAAUGAAUUGACGGGG
This 397-nucleotide ribosomal RNA is filed under the name uncultured bacterium. RNAcentral's name for it is "partial 16S ribosomal RNA". It matches the Rfam family "Bacterial small subunit ribosomal RNA", at positions 523 to 918 of the family's 1533-position model. The record is from RNAcentral.